UGCUACCAUGCAGUCGAGCGAUGAGCCUUUCGGGGUGGAUUAGCGGCGGACGGGUGAGUAACACGUGGGUAACCUGCCUUAUAGAGGGGGAUAGCCUUCCGAAAGGAAGAUUAAUACCGCAUGAAAUGUUUUUAUCGCAUGGUAGAAACAUCAAAGGAGUAAUCCGCUAUAAGAUGGACCCGCGGCGCAUUAGCUAGUUGGUGAGGUAACGGCCCACCAAGGCGACGAUGCGUAGCCGACCUGAGAGGGUGAUCGGCCACAUUGGAACUGAGACACGGUCCAGACUCCUACGGGAGGCAGCAGUGGGGAAUAUUGCGCAAUGGGGGAAACCCUGACGCAGCAACGCCGCGUGAAUGAAGAAGGCCUUAGGGUUGUAAAGUUCUGUUUUCUGGGACGAUAAUGACGGUACCAGAGGAGGAAGCCACGGCUAACUACGUGCCAGCAGCCGCGGUAAUACGUAGGUGGCAAGCGUUGUCCGGAUUUACUGGGGCGUAAAGGAUGCGUAGGCGGAUGUUUAAGUGAGAUGUGAAAUACCCGAGCUCAACUUGGGUGCUGCAUUUCAAACUGGAUAUCUAGAGUGCAGGAGAGGAAAGCGGAAUUCCUAGUGUAGCGGUGAAAUGCGUAGAGAUUAGGAGACACCAGUGGCGACGCGCUUUCUGGACUGUACUGACGCUGAGCACGAAGCGUGGGGAGCGAACAGGAUUAGAUACCCUGGUAGUC
This 720-nucleotide ribosomal RNA is filed under the name uncultured bacterium. RNAcentral describes it as "bacterial SSU rRNA". It matches the Rfam family "Bacterial small subunit ribosomal RNA", at positions 45 to 795 of the family's 1533-position model. The record is from RNAcentral.